UUUUCACAAUUUUCACUUCCCCGAACACCCAAUUUCUCUCUUCCCUCGAUUUCUCUCGAUUUUCCUCUUCUUUCAGCUUUCUCUCUUCCCUUCUCCCAUUUCUCUCUUCCCUCGCCAAACACUACCUCUCUCCCGAUCUCUCCUUUUUUUUUUUUUUUUUUCAUUUUCGUUUAAUCUGUCGUUGUCGUCCUCGAAGUCUUCUCUCUUGGCUUGAGAUGAAAUUGACAUCUGAGAUCAAGAAGGAACGCGUGUUUGCAAGAAGGAACACUCACGAUUUGAGGUCUGCUAAUUUGGUAGAGUAAAUCGUUAUCUGCGUGUUUGCCCUAGACUGCCUCUCCAAGUCUCCCUUCCUUCGAAAUCUAGGUAGAAUCAUUGCACCCGAAUGAUGCGACCGAGCAAGACAAUAUUGAAAAUGCAAAACUUAUGUACAAAGAGAUGGAGAAGGCGAACUUCACAAUGGAGCACUGACACCAACCGAAAUGACAGCAACACAUGAUGACAGUGAAUACAAAGAGAAGGUCACACAAUAAACAUCCAACCAAUGAGUAGUCAAGUGAAGUUGCCGCGCAAGGGAGGAGAACGUGGAGGUUCUUGCUGAGAGACCUCAAGGGAAAAAAAGCUGAGAAAGAAAGCAUGAGGAAGUGGAAGGCCAAGGAAUCAUGUGACGCUGAGAUCAACAUGGUGUUAGGUCAAAUGACCAAGGAUAAAGGGUUUUGCAUGGUAGAGAGAAUAACAUACAUGAUGAAAGGCAGAUCAUGAAAGAGAAGCACAACUGGAACUUGAUACAAAAAAGUGGGAGGUGAAGAUGAUGAGCAAGGAUCUUGCUGGCAUGAAUGCCAUGUAGCAAGCCUACUUCCUUAAUAUUCAGAAGAAAAUUCAUAAGGCAUCUUUGAAUAAUUUCGAAGAUACAUCCGAGAAAUCUCCAUCUAACUGUUGGGUAGAUUUGCAGUUAAUCUGAUUUUAGUGGCUA
Molecule: long non-coding RNA, 970 nt
Organism: Juglans regia (Persian walnut)
Lineage: Eukaryota; Viridiplantae; Streptophyta; Magnoliopsida; Fagales; Juglandaceae
Exons: 3
Source: RefSeq, a predicted model, not a curated record